This 441-nucleotide long non-coding RNA is filed under the name Eucalyptus grandis. RNAcentral's name for it is "long non-coding RNA (EGRA_LNC004107)". Lineage: Eukaryota; Viridiplantae; Streptophyta; Magnoliopsida; Myrtales; Myrtaceae. The record is from RNAcentral.
AGCUCGGAAUCGAUCUCCAAAGAAGCCCUCAGAAGCAACUCCAGAAAAGAGAAACCCAGAAAUUCCAGACCGACCUGGAGAGAGAAAAGUGAGAUUUUCACACACCUGCGGCUAAAAUUAGCCAAAACCUUCAACUAGAGAGUGAAACUUCAUUCAAAGAUAUUUCCAACCAUAGGUCACAUGUCCCAAAUGGAGAUCGGGAAGGCCUCCUAAAGCCCCCCAAAACAGUGCCUUUCUGGCGGGCCAAGAAAGUCCGAAACUGUUCUUUUUUUUUUGCAGAUCUCAUUUCCAGUUGAAGAAGCCAACUUCCACAGGCCCCCCGAGGAUAAUUUAUUGGUUUCAUCGGCCAAUAACCACUUGAAAAGGAAACUAGGAAGCAAUGUAAGUAUUCUAGAUGUACUUAUUUUCGAGUUUGAGCAUGUUUUGAUCAUGAAAAUCAAG